GCAGACAAGGUACGCGUCACUCUUUACGAAUACAGGCCCUACAAUAAAUAAAAAGCUACUCAAGAGAAGGGGAGGCAAGUCGUAACAUGGUAAGUGUACC
Molecule: ribosomal RNA, 100 nt
Filed under: Melanotaenia boesemani (Boeseman's rainbowfish)
Lineage: Eukaryota; Metazoa; Chordata; Actinopteri; Atheriniformes; Melanotaeniidae
Description: partial 12S ribosomal RNA
Source: RNAcentral